GGGAGAGAGACGGAGGAGAGGUGAGGCACGGGGGAGAGGAGAGAGACGGAGGAGAGGAGAGAGACGGAGGAGAGGAGAGAGACGGGGGGAGAGGUGAGAGACGGAGGAGAGGUGAGAGACGGAGGAGAGGUGAGAGACGGGGGAGUGGUGAGAGACGGGGGAGAGGAGAGAGACGGAGGAGAGGAGAGAGACGGAGGAGAGGAGAGAGACGGAGGAGAAGAGAGAGACGGAGGAGAAAGAGAGGAGAGGAGAGAGACGGAGGAGAGGAGAGAGACGGGGAGAGGAGAGAGAGGAUAGGAGAGAGACGGAGGAGAGGAGAGAGACGGAGGAGAGGAGAGAGACGGAGGAGAGGAGAGAGACGGGGGGAGAGGAGAGAGACAGAGGAGAGUAGAGAGAGAGGAGAGGAGAGAGACGGAGGAGAGGAGAGAGACGGGGGGAGAGGAGAGAGACGGAGGAGAGGUGAGAGACGGA
Oncorhynchus tshawytscha (Chinook salmon) is the source of this 471-nucleotide long non-coding RNA. The record is from Ensembl. Lineage: Eukaryota; Metazoa; Chordata; Actinopteri; Salmoniformes; Salmonidae.